Molecule: ribosomal RNA, 254 nt
Filed under: uncultured bacterium
Lineage: Bacteria
Description: partial 16S ribosomal RNA
Rfam family: Bacterial small subunit ribosomal RNA
Source: RNAcentral
UACGGAGGGUGCAAACGUUGCUCGGAAUUAUUGGGCGUAAAGAGCUCGUAGGCGGCUCAGUAAGUCGGGUGUGAAAACUCCAGGCUCAACCUGGAGACGCCACCUGAUACUGCUGUGGCUAGAGUCCGGUAGGGGAGCAUGGAAUUCCUGGUGUAGCGGUGAAAUGCGCAGAUAUCAGGAGGAACACCAGUGGCGAAGGCGGUGCUCUGGGCCGGAACUGACGCUGAGGAGCGAAAGCGUGGGGAGCAAACAGG